RNAcentral lists this ribosomal RNA (270 nucleotides) under uncultured archaeon. Its description in RNAcentral is "partial 16S ribosomal RNA". It matches the Rfam family "Archaeal small subunit ribosomal RNA", at positions 477 to 747 of the family's 1478-position model. The record is from RNAcentral.
CAGCACCUCAAGUGGUCAGGAUGAUUAUUGGGCCUAAAGCAUCCGUAGCCGGCGCUGUAAGUUUUCGGUUAAAUCUGUACGCUCAACGUACAGGCUGCCGGGAAUACUGCAGCGCUAGGGAGUGGGAGAGGUAGACGGUACUCGGUAGGAAGGGGUAAAAUCCUUUGAUCUAUUGAUGACCACCUGUGGCGAAGGCGGUCUACCAGAACACGUCCGACGGUGAGGGAUGAAAGCUGGGGGAGCAAACCGGGUUAGAUACCCGAGUAGUCC